RNAcentral lists this long non-coding RNA (698 nucleotides) under Olea europaea subsp. europaea. Lineage: Eukaryota; Viridiplantae; Streptophyta; Magnoliopsida; Lamiales; Oleaceae. The record is from RNAcentral.
GGAUGACAAAAACUAUUUAAUCCAAAAUCAGUGGGCUGGAGUCAGCCCAAAAAGAGGUAGGUCUUCUCCCGUUUCGGGCCAACUACUUCAAAUAAAAUGGCCCAAAAGCGAUCUCCAGGCCAUCUCAUCUCUCGGAUGAGAUCGCCUUCAUGAAACUUCCUCCAGAAUGGUGCGCUGGCAAUUGGAUUAGCUAAAUUAGGACCUCUAGCCAUUGAAAAAUCCAAAAAUCUGGGUUACAAAAGGCUGACUGAAGCUGGAUUACAGUCCAUGGAACUCACGGGUCAAAUUAGAAGUCUCGAAGUGGUGGUGGUGGCUUCUCUCAACUUGUUGAGUGUUCUUUUGGAGAAGAAAUUAAUUAGCCUUCAUCAAAUUUCAAUGGGUUUGGAGGAAAUAAGUAGCAACGAAGGUGGAGGGGUUUUUAAGCCCUACAAUGGUGGGGAGUUUGGUGAUACGCUAGGAUUGUUAAUUACUAAUUCGAUAAUAGUACAAGAAGGGGUGACUGAGUUGAUUGGUUGUGGUACUAUGCAACAUUGUAUUUUGAUUUGGCAGGUUCAACUUUUGGAACACUGGCGAACGGGUACGACCGGCUAUGGGAUUUUUAUGGAUUGAAUUUUAACGAUAGGUGGGCUGUUGACUACACAGGCUAAUAGCCACAACAAGCUUACUGCAAAAAUGGUUCAACUAAAUGGAAACCCGAA